Molecule: ribosomal RNA, 507 nt
Filed under: uncultured bacterium
Lineage: Bacteria
Description: partial 16S ribosomal RNA
Rfam family: Bacterial small subunit ribosomal RNA
Source: RNAcentral
GACGAACGCUGGCGGCGUGCCUAAUACAUGCAAGUCGAACGCAUUUUCUUUGAACGUAGCUUGCUACACCGAAAGAAAGUGAGGGGCGAACGGGUGAGUAACACGUGGGUAACCUGCCCAGCAGCGGGGGAGAACACUUGGAAACAGGCGCUAAUACCGCGUAAUUGCAUGUACCGCAUGGUAGAUGGAUGAAAGGCGCUUUUGCGUCACUGAUGGAUGGACCCGCGGUGCAUUAGCUUGUGGGGGGGGUAACGGACUACCAAGGCUGCGAUGCAGAGCCGGCCUGAGAGGGUUGUCGGCCCCACUGGGACUGGGGCACGGCCCCGGCCCCUUCGGGAGGGAGCCGGAGGGGAUCUUCGGCAAUGGACGCAAGGCUGACCGCGCCACGCCGGGUGAGGGCAGGAGGUUUUCGGGUUGUAAAACUCUGUUGUUAGGGAAGAACGAGGAUGAGAUUGGAACGUUCAUCUCUUGACGUUAUCUAAACAGUAAGCCCCGGCUAACUACGUG